This 264-nucleotide ribosomal RNA is filed under the name Anaerobacillus sp. 1_MG-2023. RNAcentral describes it as "partial 16S ribosomal RNA". It matches the Rfam family "Bacterial small subunit ribosomal RNA", at positions 414 to 669 of the family's 1533-position model. The record is from RNAcentral. Lineage: Bacteria; Bacillati; Bacillota; Bacilli; Caryophanales; Bacillaceae.
GCCUUCGGGUCGUAAAGCUCUGUUGUUAGGGAAGACCAAGUACCGUUCGAAUAGGGCGGUACCUUGACGGUCCCUAACCAGAAAGCCACGGCUAACUACGUGCCAGCAGCCGCGGUAAUACGUAGGUGGCAAGCGUUGUCCGGAAGUAUUGGGCGUAAAGCGCGCGCAGGCGGUCUUUUAAGUCUGAUGUGAAAGCCCACGGCUCAACCGUGGAGGGUCAGUGGACACUGGAGGACUUGAGUGCAGACGAGGAGAGUGGCAUUC